RNAcentral lists this ribosomal RNA (487 nucleotides) under uncultured bacterium. RNAcentral describes it as "bacterial SSU rRNA". It matches the Rfam family "Bacterial small subunit ribosomal RNA", at positions 501 to 984 of the family's 1533-position model. The record is from RNAcentral.
CUACGUGCCAGCAGCCGCGGUAAUACGUAGGGCGCGAGCGUUGUCCGGAAUUAUUGGGCGUAAAGAGCUUGUAGGCGGUUUGUCGCGUCUGCUGUGAAAGGCCGGGGCUUAACCCCGUGUAUUGCAGUGGGUACGGGCAGACUAGAGUGCAGUAGGGGAGACUGGAAUUCCUGGUGUAGCGGUGGAAUGCGCAGAUAUCAGGAGGAACACCGAUGGCGAAGGCAGGUCUCUGGGCUGUAACUGACGCUGAGAAGCGAAAGCAUGGGGAGCGAACAGGAUUAGAUACCCUGGUAGUCCAUGCCGUAAACGUUGGGCACUAGGUGUGGGGGACAUUCCACGUUUUCCGCGCCGUAGCUAACGCAUUAAGUGCCCCGCCUGGGGAGUACGGCCGCAAGGCUAAAACUCAAAGAAAUUGACGGGGGCCCGCACAAGCGGCGGAGCAUGCGGAUUAAUUCGAUGCAACGCGAAGAACCUUACCAAGGCUUUG